This 783-nucleotide ribosomal RNA is filed under the name uncultured bacterium. RNAcentral's name for it is "bacterial SSU rRNA". It matches the Rfam family "Bacterial small subunit ribosomal RNA", at positions 708 to 1500 of the family's 1533-position model. The record is from RNAcentral.
AAUUGCGAAGGCAGGCUACUAAUAAUUGAUUGACACUGAUGGACGAAAGCGUGGGGAGCGAACAGGAUUAGAUACCCUGGUAGUCCACGCCGUAAACGAUGGUUACUAGCUGUCCGGCUCGAUUGAGAGCUGGGUGGCCAAGCGAAAGUGAUAAGUAACCCACCUGGGGAGUACGUUCGCAAGAAUGAAACUCAAAGGAAUUGACGGGGGCCCGCACAAGCGGUGGAGCAUGUGGUUUAAUUCGAUGGUACGCGAGGAACCUUACCAGGGCUUAAAUGUAGUCUGACAGAUUUGGAAACAGAUUUUUCUUCGGACAGAUUACAAGGUGCUGCAUGGUUGUCGUCAGCUCGUGCCGUGAGGUGUCAGGUUAAGUCCUAUAACGAGCGCAACCCCUGUUGUUAGUUGCCAUCGAGUAAUGUCGGGAACUCUAACAAGACUGCCAGUGCAAACUGUGAGGAAGGUGGGGAUGACGUCAAAUCAUCACGGCCCUUACGUCCUGGGCCACACACGUGCUACAAUGGUAGGUACAGAGAGCAGCCACGUCGCAAGGCGGAGCGAAUCUAUAAAACCUAUCACAGUUCGGAUCGGGGUCUGCAACUCGACCCCGUGAAGCUGGAAUCGCUAGUAAUCGCAUAUCAGCCAUGAUGCGGUGAAUACGUUCCCGGGCCUUGUACACACCGCCCGUCAAGCCAUGGAAGCUGGGGGUACCUGAAGUCCGUCACCGCAAGGAGCGGCCUAGGGUAAAACCGGUAACGUGGGGCUAAGUUUCGUAACCAAGGUAAC